This 768-nucleotide long non-coding RNA is filed under the name Amborella trichopoda. Its description in RNAcentral is "long non-coding RNA (ATRI_LNC002672)". The record is from RNAcentral. Lineage: Eukaryota; Viridiplantae; Streptophyta; Magnoliopsida; Amborellales; Amborellaceae.
GCCUCCUUAUCAGAACGUUACCAAUUUCCCAGGAAUCCGUGAUUGGACACUGUCUAUUAUUGUAUUUCUUUGUUUAAUAAUUUAAUUGUACGGACUCGUGUCAUCUCCCCUUAGCGACUGGACAUUUAUGAGCAGAAAAGGCCGUUGCUUUCUCCUGGUUGUCGGCUGGCGUGGGCCGUGUCUUGAUGUGAUUUUCACGUUCGAACUGACUAAAGUGCCCCUUUUGUGAAUGGCUCCACUUCGAUCCAAAAAAUUUACGCAAAGUGGUGAACUUUCGCUUGCCGAAAUUUUGGCGAGAGAUUUAACUAUGUGGGAGUUUUCCUUGCAAUUUUGACCACCCAAAAGAAAUUUAAGAGAAUUUGGGUUUUGGGUUGGACCUCGUUAUGUCUUUGCCAUAAUCACAGUCUUAAAUCCCAAUUAGGUCCUUCUACCCACAAAUAGGUUCGACCUCCAAAAAAUCAACGUCGCCCACUCUGUGCUAAUGUGAAUGAAUAUUGCCGAUCUAUAAGAAACUCUUCCUUACACUACAAAGGGGAAUAAAUUGUGAGAUCUUAAAAGAGCGAUUGCAUCUCUGAAGCACAUUAUAUUUUCUAUUGAACAUAGAGAAUUACAUUAAAUUUUACUUUAAAACUAAUGUGGAAUUCCUCCUCUCUUGUCCAAAGUGCUCCACCUUAGGUACGGUUCACCAUAUCAGAUUGAGUAUCUGAAUUAAUCCCUCAUGAGCUUUUUAUGCUCAGAAGACUACUUAACCUCGUCUUUUACUCCCGC